RNAcentral lists this transfer RNA (19 nucleotides) under Orobanche gracilis. RNAcentral describes it as "tRNA-Arg". The record is from RNAcentral. Lineage: Eukaryota; Viridiplantae; Streptophyta; Magnoliopsida; Lamiales; Orobanchaceae.
UCGAGGGUUCGAAUCCCUU